GGAAGUAAAGUCGUAACAAGGUUUCCGUAGGUGAACCUGCGGAAGGAUCAUUAUUGUAUAACCGAGGUGCGAGGGCUGUCGCUGACCCGAAAGGUCGUGCACGUCCGAGUGCCCUCACACACAUCCAUCUCACCCCUAUGUGCUCCACCGCGUGGGUCCCCCUUUGGCUUGUUCGGAGGGGGGCUUACGUUUUCACACAAACUUUGUAUGCAGUGUAGAAUGUAUUUUUUGUUUUUGCGAUCACGCAAUCAAUACAACUUUCAACAACGGAUCUCUUGGCUCUC
Molecule: unclassified non-coding RNA, 284 nt
Filed under: plant metagenome
Description: partial contains small subunit ribosomal RNA, internal transcribed spacer 1, and 5.8S ribosomal RNA
Rfam family: Eukaryotic small subunit ribosomal RNA (bases 1-53)
Source: RNAcentral